GAAGCAUUUCUCUAGGCCUGAAACC
RNAcentral lists this non-coding RNA (25 nucleotides) under Arabidopsis thaliana (thale cress). The record is from RNAcentral. Lineage: Eukaryota; Viridiplantae; Streptophyta; Magnoliopsida; Brassicales; Brassicaceae.